This 904-nucleotide ribosomal RNA is filed under the name uncultured bacterium. RNAcentral's name for it is "bacterial SSU rRNA". It matches the Rfam family "Bacterial small subunit ribosomal RNA", at positions 8 to 916 of the family's 1533-position model. The record is from RNAcentral.
AGAGUUUGAUCCUGGCUCAGAAUCAACGCUGGCGGCGUGCCUAACACAUGCAAGUCGAGCGCGAAAGGGGAGCAAUCCCUGAGUAGAGUGGCAAACGGGUGAGUGACACGUGGGUGACCUGCCUCAGAGUGGGGGAUAACGUCCCGAAAGGGACGCUAAUACCGCAUAACAUCCUGCCUUUGGAAAGGCGGAGAUCAAAGCCGGGGAUCGCAAGACCUGGCGCUUGGAGAGGGGCCCGCGUCUGAUUAGCUAGUUGGUAGGGUAAUGGCCUACCAAGGCGACGAUCAGUAUCCGGCCUGAGAGGGCGGACGGACACACUGGGACUGAGACACUGCCCGGACUCCUACGGGAGGCUGCAGCGACGAAUCUUCCGCAAUGGGCGCAAGCCUGACGGAGCGACGCCGCGUGUGGGAUGAAGCGUCUUCGACGUGUAAACCACUGUCAGAGAACAGAAACACUGAUUGUUCUCAGAGGAAGGGGCGACUAACUCUGUGCCAGCAGUCGCGGUAAGACAGAGGCCCCGAGCGUUAAUCGGAAUUACUGGGCUUAAAGGGUGCGUAGGUGGACCAGCAAGUGCUUUGUGAAAGCCCCCGGCUCAACCGGGGAACAGCGGGGCAUACUGCUGGUCUUGAGGAAGGUAGGGGCCGCGAGAACUGUAGGUGGAGCGGUGAAAUGCGUAGAUAUCUACAGGAAUGCCGAUGGUGAAGACGCGCGGCUGGGCCUUUCCUGACACUGAGGCACGAAAGCGUGGGGAGCAAACAGGAUUAGAUACCCUGGUAGUCCACGCCGUAAACCAUGCACGCUAGAUCGGGGUGGCUCUGACGCCGGCUCGGUCGAAGCAAAAGCGAUAAGCGUGCCGCCUGGGGAGUACGGUCGCAAGGCUAAAACUCAAAGGAAUUGACGG